This 788-nucleotide ribosomal RNA is filed under the name Acinetobacter lwoffii. RNAcentral describes it as "bacterial SSU rRNA". It matches the Rfam family "Bacterial small subunit ribosomal RNA", at positions 55 to 839 of the family's 1533-position model. Lineage: Bacteria; Pseudomonadati; Pseudomonadota; Gammaproteobacteria; Moraxellales; Moraxellaceae. The record is from RNAcentral.
CUGCAGUCGAGCGGGGAAAGUAGCUUGCUACUUAACCUAGCGGCGGACGGGUGAGUAAUGCUUAGGAAUCUGCCUAUUAGUGGGGGACAACAUCUCGAAAGGGAUGCUAAUACCGCAUACGUCCUACGGGAGAAAGCAGGGGACCUUCGGGCCUUGCGCUAAUAGAUGAGCCUAAGUCGGAUUAGCUAGUUGGUGGGGUAAAGGCCUACCAAGGCGACGAUCUGUAGCGGGUCUGAGAGGAUGAUCCGCCACACUGGGACUGAGACACGGCCCAGACUCCUACGGGAGGCAGCAGUGGGGAAUAUUGGACAAUGGGGGGAACCCUGAUCCAGCCAUGCCGCGUGUGUGAAGAAGGCCUUUUGGUUGUAAAGCACUUUAAGCGAGGAGGAGGCUACCGAGAUUAAUACUCUUGGAUAGUGGACGUUACUCGCAGAAUAAGCACCGGCUAACUCUGUGCCAGCAGCCGCGGUAAUACAGAGGGUGCAAGCGUUAAUCGGAUUUACUGGGCGUAAAGCGCGCGUAGGUGGCCAAUUAAGUCAAAUGUGAAAUCCCCGAGCUUAACUUGGGAAUUGCAUUCGAUACUGGUUGGCUAGAGUAUGGGAGAGGAUGGUAGAAUUCCAGGUGUAGCGGUGAAAUGCGUAGAGAUCUGGAGGAAUACCGAUGGCGAAGGCAGCCAUCUGGCCUAAUACUGACACUGAGGUGCGAAAGCAUGGGGAGCAAACAGGAUUAGAUACCCUGGUAGUCCAUGCCGUAAACGAUGUCUACUAGCCGUUGGGGCCGUAUCUGCG